AGCGCAGGCGGACCGGUGUGUCGGAUGUGAAACCUCAGGGCUCAACCUUGGGACUGCGUCCGAAACUGCCGGUCUAGGGACUCGGAGGGGCUGGUGGAAUUCCUGGUGGAGCAGUGAAAUGCGUAGAUAUCAGGAGGAACACCGACGGCGAAGGCAGCCAGCUGGACGAGAUCCGACGCUCAGGCUCGAAAGUAUGGGGAGACAAAAAGGAUUAGACUACCCUUGUAGUCCAUACUAGUAAACGUUGUUGAUUAGGUCUUGGAGCAUUCGAACGCUCCGAGGGCUCAAGCUAACGCAAUAAAUCAACCGCCUGAGGACUACGGCCGCAAGGACUAAA
This 337-nucleotide ribosomal RNA is filed under the name uncultured bacterium. Its description in RNAcentral is "bacterial SSU rRNA". It matches the Rfam family "Bacterial small subunit ribosomal RNA", at positions 568 to 899 of the family's 1533-position model. The record is from RNAcentral.